UAUUAGUGAUGAGUAUUUAUUAAGUCAGUUCUGCUACUGAAAGUAAUUGAAGAAAAUAACUUUCUGAAAU
Molecule: non-coding RNA, 70 nt
Organism: Acyrthosiphon pisum (pea aphid)
Lineage: Eukaryota; Metazoa; Arthropoda; Insecta; Hemiptera; Aphididae
Source: Rfam